This 4811-nucleotide long non-coding RNA is filed under the name Equus caballus (horse). RNAcentral describes it as "lncRNA (ENSECAG00000056117.1)". The record is from RNAcentral. Lineage: Eukaryota; Metazoa; Chordata; Mammalia; Perissodactyla; Equidae.
GGGCUCUAGACUUAACCUGUCAGCAGAGGACUAGAGGUUAGAUCACAGGCUGAACUCAGGUGACUGCCUUAGAAGUGAACCCAGGAUGAGGGAGCUGCCCCCUCCCAACAGCCGGAAUGGGGAAGGGGCAGUGGAGGUCGCCAGCUUUCCUCCCUUGACCCUGGGAGAUGGGUUGGGAGGGGCUGCACAGAAUAGCUGGUGUCCCACCCUCUAGGAGGGGCUGCUGUGGACAUCUGGGCAACAUCUGGAUUCCUGGCAGGACAGGGAACUUGUCUAUUUGAGAUCCUCCAGGGAUAUACCAUCCACCCCUUGGUGGCCCCUCAGCACUACAUUCCUGGGGAGCUCUUUACAAACAGGUGUAUAGGACCCAGCCCCGUAAUGUGGGUGAAUUCAUGCCAAUCUAGGAGGGUCCUGACAUACGUCCUUCGGAUGUGGCCUAGGGGCCUGGGCAGCAGCCUGCUCUUCUGGGCUAUUCCACCUUUCCGCCUCCUGCCCUCCUGUCGGAGUGCGCACGGUGAGAUGCUUGUCUUCCCUGUGUGGAAAUGCUGGGAAAUAGGAGGCUCUGGUGUCCAUCCUCUCCAUUCCCCUUCCUCCAGCUCUGCCAGCCCUGGCCCUGCACUGCUCAUGUCACAACCUGUGGGCACCUCCUCUGUACCAAGGGUGGAAUAGAGGCAGAUUGGGGGCUCCGGAAAAAUUCGCUGGGGUUGUGUGUCCCUACCCGCAGACUACGACGUUUCCUACAGCCAGCUGGUAUGUUUCACCCUUCGGAAUGGAUCUCUGAUGGUAGUACGUCUCCAUCAGACUAGGAGCCUCCUGAGGACAGGGGCUGCUUUAGAGGCUGGAGCUCAGAGCUCAAUGUCGGUGUCUCCUUCGUCACACUGGGGGUUCCCUGAGGCAGGGUCUGUUUACUUCCAGGAGGGCAAGUCUGUCUCCCUUCCUCCCCGCAGGCAGGUAGAGGCCCCUCCCCCAUUCGUGUAGCUUCCUGCCCACAGGGGGCGCUAGGGGCCCAGAGAACUGACAGGCGGAUGGAUCCUGUUUCUUGGGACUCAGGGCUGCUGGUUCUCUGGUGUUGAUGCACCUGGGGAUGGAGGGGCCGGGGGUGGUCCCCAUCUCGCGUGGCUGUUGACCUGGUCCUGGCCCUUGCUCUGGCAGUCGAGGCCAGGCCUGUCUGGCCAGAGGCUGUGGCCAGCAUGUGGGAGAAGCUCCAAGUGUGGUUACCCACAGUUUCUGCCAGGAAGGGACAGUGUGGCCCUUGGCGCAGAACGGCGCUGCGCAUCUCCUCUCUCCUCAUUACCAUGGCCACCAAGCCCUAUCCUCCAUCACCCUCACUAGACCCCACUGCCCGGCCUUUGCUUGUGCUGUUCUCUCCACCUGCUGCACCUGCUCUUCCUGUCUGUGAGGACAGCUGAAGUGCCACUGCUUCUCCUGGAGCUCUGGUCUUCAGCAGGGUAGGUAUGGCCAAGAAGGCUGCUGGUGCCCGGGGGUCUUCUGAUGAAAAGAACUCUCCAUCUACUCCCUCCUUCCUCACCCACCUGAGCCACAGGGACCAAAGAGGGGAUAAGGUGGGAGUGGGGGAGAUGGGAAGGUGGAGGCAACGUAGGUGGAAAGGGGGCAAGAAGAAGCCUCAGCCUCCAUCUUCUCCCACUCUGCCCCGUGUAGCCCCUUCCCAAAUCCCCUCAUCCCCUCGUUGCCUCUGAACUCUCUUCCCCUGAAGCUGAGGGAAGCCCUGGAGGAGCCCUUUCUCACGGUCACAGCCUCAACAACCCCCACCCCCUGCUCCUUUGGCCACAGCCACCUCGGCCUCUGCAGAGCCCAGGCCUGGCCCACCCGUCCCUGCAGGGCCCCCUCCUUGGGCUGGGGCGCCUGCUUCCGCGAGUGGCAUCAUCACCCCACUCCUCAGGCUGCCCAGUCAUCAGGUCAGCAAUUAGCUACUUCCUCUCGGCUGCAUGAGGCCACUGAACGUCACAGCCCCUCCCCCCGGCCAGCCGCCCGCGGGAGUGCUGGGGGGUGCCCCCCACACUUUGUAGUCAAUGCCAAGUCCUGGCUCAAUCCCCCCAGUCUACUGAGUACCGGGGUAAUGAGACUCCCUGUGCUCCUGGGGGCGGGAGAAGCGUUCCUGCUGCCUCCUCCCCUCGUGUCACCCCAUCCCAUUGGGUGAGGACACUCCAGCUGCCAGGGUGGGGCGGUGCUGGCUCAAGGGCACCUGCGGCUGGAGCUGGCGAGGCUUGAGACUUAGGUGCCCCUGUUCCCAGUCCUAGGCAGUUUUCACCAGGCUCUCUCGCCUGGGGCCUGGGAGUCUGAGAACUGAGGAUGCUGGCAGUUAUCUGAUAAGGGGGGAGAGAUGGGGGAGGCACCCUACAGACGCCCAAGCCUGCAGGGGGACAGGCUUUUCAUGAACAUCCACAGGGGCUUGCACCCUGUGCCUAGGCACUUUCACAGGUACACCCUGUGCAAUGUAUGUCCCACCACAGCCGUGCCCUCAUGGGUCCCUGGGGGCAGCCCACCUGCAGGUGUGCCAGCAUGCCCAGACACCCCCUCCUCCAAAUGUGUGCUCACUGACAUGUUCACAGAGAGAAUAAGCUCACUACCACACCAAAACCAAAACCAGGACACCAUGGAGGAGCCCAGGAGGGUGGAAUCAGAGAGACCACCCCAAACCUGCCCCCCACCGCUCCUUGGGCCAGAGGGUCUUCCCGGGGAAGGUCGGGGGGGGGGGGGGGGGGGGGGGAGGCUGCACUUCCAGGGUGUGGGUGUGUGGUAGGCAGGGAGACGGUGGGAGGAGCUGGGGCUGAGUCUGGAGGAAGGGCUAGGGCGUGGAUUUCCAGAGAGAAUAAAAGCAUUCCAACAAAUAUAAACAAAUGUGUGUAAUCUUAGGCAGAUCAUUUAACUCCUUAGGGCCUCAGCAAUAGCAUCUGUAAAAUGGGGAUGAUGAGAAUACUACUUAAACUUGGUUGUGAGGUUUAAAUGAGUUAACUGGCCAGAGCAGGCCCUGACUGACAUUACUAUUGAGGAGACCCUCCCAAUGUCCUGUCUCUGGGGGCAGGUUUGCCCGAAAGGGGCUGCACUAGGUCUUCCCUGACCAUGUGCUCACCUCUGUCUUUCUCCAUUUCCUGGAAAUGCCGAGGCGUGGCGGGUGAUUGGCUACUCUCUGGAUUGGCCUAGGGGCAGGGCCUGGGAGGGGCUGGCUACCUGCCCCACCCCUACCUGGCUGGCACAACAGGUAACUGAGUGCUGGCUUCUAACCCUGGGAGAGAAUGAGUCAGCCAGCACCACUCCAUCCAGGCAAAUGGGGUGCAGGGGACAGGAGCUUGGGUGGAGGGGCCUUCUAGGAACGUUCCUGGAAGAGGACCUGGGAACGGAUGCUGCCGCCAGGAGCCACCACCUCAGCUUACCAGCCUGUGCCCAAUUCAGCAAACACCCUUGUCCUUGCUUCUCACAGCUCACUCUCUGGAUUCAUGAGGCAAGGCCCUGCUGGCCCACCCUGGCUGGCUCCAAACACGGCUUCAACCACAGCAGGGAGCCAGGCCUGCUGCCACCAUGCUGCCUUGCCACCCUUCUCAGCUUGUCCAGCAGGGUGUCCAUGGACACAGGGGCACACACACUCUCACUUACAUGUGCCCACGGCCACAUGAGCACAACCAGAGACACCAAUGCAGACACGUUCUCACAAGCACAUGCACACACACUGUCAGUACUCCCUCACACUUGUACGCACCCACAUAGACAUUCGUGUACACUCACAAUUUCAUACAACCACACUCAUGUACAGCCACACAUGCAGAGUCGUAAUCACUGCUGUUGGUGGAAUUGUGUCCCCCAAAAGAUAUGUUGACAUCCUAACCCCUACUACCUGGGAACAUGACCUUAGUUGGAAAUAGAGUCUUUGUAGGUGUAAUCAAGUUUUAAGAUGAGAUCUUACUGGAUUAGAGUGGGCCCUAAAUUUGAUGACUGGUGUCUUUUAGGGAGAGAGAGAUUUGUAGACACAGCGACUCGGAGACACACAGGGAAGAUGGACACAUGAUGAUGGAGGCAGAGAUUGGAGUGAUGCAGCUGUAAGCCAAGGAACACCGGGGAUUGCUGGCAAACGCCAGGAGCUAGGAGAGAGGCAUGCAACAGACUCCCUCAGAGCCUCCAGAAGGAACCAAACCUGCUGACACGUUGAUUUUGGACUCUGGCCUCCUUAACUACGAGAGAGUAAAUUUCUGUUGGUUUAAGCCACCAAGUCUGUGGUAAUUUGUUAUGGCAGCUCUAGGAAACGAAUACAGUCACACACACACACGUGCACACACACACACGCACACACACACAUGCUGCUGGCUCUAGGCUCAGUGACGAGGUUGGUGGAGUUCCUCUUGGGAGCUGCUCUGCCUCUGUCCUCCUUCCCCUGUGGCUGGUCCCAUGAACCCAAAAAAGCUCAUGGCCCAGGGCAGGAGCAUGAUAAUUUUCAAUCCCUCCUUCCCUCCCUGGAGUUGUUAACUAAGCAUCCCCCUCAAAAUCUGCUCUCAGGAUGGGUUGCCAUGUUUACGUGCACUGAAAGACAUGUCCAAGAAUGCUAUGGCUGCUUUACUGCUAUUAAUUAAAAACUGGAAACAACCCAAAUGUCUAUCAACAGCAGAAUAGAUAAUAAAUUGUGGCAUAGCCACGCAAUGGAAGGCUGCUCAGACAGGAAAAAGGAAGACGUAAUGCUGCAGGAAUAGCAUGGAUGACCCUCACAGACCCCACACUGACCACACUGGGCCCCAUACAAAGAAUGUAUGCUCUGGAGUCCGUGUGCGUGAGGUUCAAGAACAAAGCCAACCCGUGGUGAUAAA